This 76-nucleotide transfer RNA is filed under the name Alphaproteobacteria bacterium. RNAcentral's name for it is "tRNA-Thr". It matches the Rfam family "tRNA". From Rfam's summary of the family: Transfer RNA (tRNA) molecules are approximately 80 nucleotides in length. Their secondary structure includes four short double-helical elements and three loops (D, anti-codon, and T loops). Further hydrogen bonds mediate the characteristic L-shaped molecular structure. tRNAs have two regions of fundamental functional importance: the anti-codon, which is responsible for specific mRNA codon recognition, and the 3' end, to which the tRNAs corresponding amino acid is attached (by aminoacyl-tRNA synthetases). tRNAs cope with the degeneracy of the genetic code in two manners: having more than one tRNA (with a specific anti-codon) for a particular amino acid; and 'wobble' base-pairing, i.e. permitting non-standard base-pairing at the 3rd anti-codon position. Lineage: Bacteria; Pseudomonadati; Pseudomonadota; Alphaproteobacteria. RNAcentral also lists the same sequence under 3 other names. The record is from RNAcentral.
GCCGGCUUAGCUCAGUUGGUAGAGCAUCUGAUUUGUAAUCAGAGGGUCGGGGGUUCGAGUCCCUCAGCCGGCACCA